UAAUACAGAGGGUGCAAGCGUUGCUCGGAUUUACUGGGCGUAAAGCGUACGCAGACGGCCACGCAGGUCGGGUGUGAAAGCCCCGGGCUCAACCCGGGAAUUGCAUUCGAAACCAUGUGGCUCGAGUGUGGGAGAGGGUAGUGGAAUUCCUGGUGUAGAGGUGAAAUUCGUAGAUAUCAGGAGGAACACCGGCGGCGAAGGCGGCUACCUGGUCCACAACUGACGUUCAGGUACGAAAGCGUGGGGAGCAAACAGGAUUAGAUACCCUGGUAGUCCACGCCGUAAACGAUGUGUGCUGGAUGUCGGGGGUAUUCACCCCCUCGGUAUCGAAGCCAACGCGCUAAGCACACCGCCUGGGGAGUACGGCCGCAAGGUUG
RNAcentral lists this ribosomal RNA (377 nucleotides) under uncultured bacterium. Its description in RNAcentral is "bacterial SSU rRNA". It matches the Rfam family "Bacterial small subunit ribosomal RNA", at positions 521 to 896 of the family's 1533-position model. The record is from RNAcentral.